This 714-nucleotide ribosomal RNA is filed under the name uncultured Actinomycetes bacterium. RNAcentral describes it as "bacterial SSU rRNA". It matches the Rfam family "Bacterial small subunit ribosomal RNA", at positions 74 to 804 of the family's 1533-position model. Lineage: Bacteria; Bacillati; Actinomycetota; Actinomycetes. The record is from RNAcentral.
AGCCCUUCGGGGUGGAUCAGUGGCGAACGGGUGAGUAACACGUGGGCAAUCUGCCCUGCACUCUGGGACAAGCCUUGGAAACGAGGUCUAAUACCGGAUAUUACCCCUGGGGGCAUCCCUGGGGGUGGAAAGCUCCGGCGGUGCAGGAUGAGCCCGCGGCCUAUCAGCUUGUUGGUGGGGUGAUGGCCUACCAAGGCGACGACGGGUAGCCGGCCUGAGAGGGCGACCGGCCACACUGGGACUGAGACACGGCCCAGACUCCUACGGGAGGCAGCAGUGGGGAAUAUUGCACAAUGGGCGAAAGCCUGAUGCAGCGACGCCGCGUGAGGGAUGAAGGCCUUCGGGUUGUAAACCUCUUUCAGCAGGGAAGAAGCGCAAGUGACGGUACCUGCAGAAGAAGCACCGGCUAACUACGUGCCAGCAGCCGCGGUAAUACGUAGGGUGCGAGCGUUGUCCGGAAUUAUUGGGCGUAAAGAGCUCGUAGGCGGCUUGUCACGUCGGAUGUGAAAGCCCGGGGCUUAACCCCGGGUCUGCAUUCGAUACGGGCAGGCUAGAGUGUGGUAGGGGAGAUCGGAAUUCCUGGUGUAGCGGUGAAAUGCGCAGAUAUCAGGAGGAACACCGGUGGCGAAGGCGGAUCUCUGGGCCAUUACUGACGCUGAGGAGCGAAAGCGUGGGGAGCGAACAGGAUUAGAUACCCUGGUAGUCCACGCCGUA